This 451-nucleotide ribosomal RNA is filed under the name Apiomerus sp. 00218895. Its description in RNAcentral is "partial 16S ribosomal RNA". It matches the Rfam family "Bacterial large subunit ribosomal RNA", at positions 1846 to 2555 of the family's 2925-position model. Lineage: Eukaryota; Metazoa; Arthropoda; Insecta; Hemiptera; Reduviidae. The record is from RNAcentral.
UUUGAGGUCUAACCUGCCCAAUGAUUUUAUUUAAUGGCCGCGGUAUUUUAACUGUGCUAAGGUAGCAUAAUCAUUUGUCUUUUAAUUGAGGGCUAGUAUGAAUGGUUGGACGAGACAUGGGCUUUCUUUAAUUUAAUUUGUGAAUUUAAUUUUUUAGUUAAAAAGCUAGAAUUUAUUUGUUGGACGAGAAGACCCUAUAGAUCUUUAUAUUUGUUUUUGAUUGAAUAAUUUGGUUAAUUUUUUAUUUGAAUUAGGAAAAAUAUUUGGUUGGGGUGACUAUAGAAUUUUAAUGACUUCUAUUUUUGUUUUUCAUUUAUGUAUGUUUUUUUGAUCCAUUAUUUAUGAUUAUAAGAUUAAGUUACCUUAGGGAUAACAGCGUAAUUUUUUUGGAGAGUUCAUAUCGAUAAAAGAGUUUGCGACCUCGAUGUUGGAUUAAAAUAAGUAAUAGAUG